RNAcentral lists this ribosomal RNA (1349 nucleotides) under uncultured marine eukaryote. RNAcentral's name for it is "SSU rRNA". It matches the Rfam family "Eukaryotic small subunit ribosomal RNA", at positions 412 to 1776 of the family's 1831-position model. The record is from RNAcentral.
CCUUUAAAGGGAGGAGCAGGCGCGCAAUUACCCAAUCCUGACUCAGGGAGGUAGUGACAAGAAAUAACAAUAAACCGGCUUAUGCCGGUUUAAUUGGAAUGAGUACAAUUUAAACAUCUUAACGAGGAACAAUUGGAGGGCAAGUCUGGUGCCAGCAGCCGCGGUAAUUCCAGCUCCAAUAGCGUAUACUAAAGUUGUUGCAGUUAAAAAGCUCGUAGUUGGAUUUCUGUGGGGACGGAGCGGCCGGCCGCACAUCGCGGUUCGAGCUAGCGCUUUCCCUACAUCCUGCCGCGAACCGUGCUACCAUUAAUUUGGUGGCGCUGGGGAUCGGCUCGAUUACUUUGAGAAAAAUAGAGUGUUCAAAGCAGGCCACAUGCCUUGAAUAAGUUAGCAUGGAAUAAUAACUAAGGACUUCGGUUCUAUUUUGUUGGUGUUCGGGACUGAAGUAAUGAUUGAUAGGGACAGUUGGGGCGGUCUGUAUUCCAAAGCGAGAGGUGAAAUUCUUAGACCUUCGGAAGACAAACAGCUGCGAAAGCGUUCCGCAAGGAUGUUCCCUUUGAUCAAGAACGAAAGUUGGGGGAUCGAAGACGAUCAGAUACCGUCGUAGUCUCAACUAUAAACUAUACCAGCUAGGGAUCGGCCAACGUUAUUUCAAACCGACUUGGUCGGCACCUUAUGAGAAAUCAAAGCAUCUGGGUUCCGGGGGGAGUAUGGUCGCAAGGCAGAAACUUAAAGGAAUUGACGGAAGGGCACCACCAGCCGUGGAGCCUGUGGCUUAAUUUGACUCAACACGGGAAAACUCACCAGGUCCAGACAUAGUAAGGAUUGACAGAUUGAUAGCUCUUUCUUGAUUCUGUGGGUGGUGGUGCAUGGCCGUUCUUAGUUGGUGGAGUGAUUUGUCUGGUUAAUUCCGUUAACGAACGAGACCCCAGCCUGCUAAAUAGCGUGGGUGAGCUUUGCUCGCUGCAAGCUUCUUAGAGGGACUAUGAUGCGCGAUAGCACAUGGAAGUUUGGGGCAAUAACAGGUCUGUGAUGCCCUUAGAUGUUCUGGGCCGCACACGGGCUACACUGGCGCCUGCAACGAGCAUAUCAGCUGGCCCGAGAGGGUCUUGGCUAAUCUUUUGAACCGGCGCCGUGCUUGGGAUUGACCUUUGCAAUUGUUGGUCAUGCAACGAGGAAUGCCUUGUAAACGCGAGUCAUCAGCUCGCAUUGAAUACGUCCCUGCCCUUUGUACACACCGCCCGUCGCUCCUACCGAUGAAUGUUCCGAUGAAAUUUUCGGAGAGCACCUGUGAACUUGGCUCCGCCUUGCGAACGGGAGGCUCAAAGUCACUAAAUCGAAACAUGAAG